AACGCACCUUGCACUCCUUGGUAUUCCGAGGAGUAUGCCUGUUUGAGUGUCUUUAAAUCAUCAAUCUAGCUUUGCUUUUGUGAAGUUGGAUUGGAUUUGGGGAUUGCUGGUGAAAGCUAGCUUCCCUUGAAUGCAUUAGUUGGACCGAGUUGCAACGCUACGUGUGGUGUGAUAAUAUCUUCACUGCAUAGUUGUAAUGAAGUUUGGCUUCUAACCGUCCUUCACUGGACAAUUAUUGACCAUUGGACCUCAAAUCAGGUAGGACUACCCGCUGAACUUAA
Molecule: unclassified non-coding RNA, 281 nt
Filed under: Xylodon sp.
Lineage: Eukaryota; Fungi; Basidiomycota; Agaricomycetes; Hymenochaetales; Schizoporaceae
Also listed under: 2 other names
Description: partial contains 5.8S ribosomal RNA, internal transcribed spacer 2, and large subunit ribosomal RNA
Rfam family: 5.8S ribosomal RNA (bases 1-52)
Source: RNAcentral